CAUUNAGGUAGUNGNNGGNNNAANUGGCCCACCAAGGAGANGAAGNGUAGCNGACNUGAGAGGGUGAUCGGCCACACUGGGANUGAGANACGGCCCAGACUCAUACGGGAGGCAGCAGUAGGGAAUCUUCCGCAAUNNGNNCAAGCCUGACGGAGCAACGCCGCGUGAGUGAUGAAGGUUUUCGGAUCGUAAAGCUCUGUUGCCAAGGNAAGAACGCCUCGGAGAGUAACUGCUCUGAGGGUGACGGUACUUGAGAAGAAAGCCCCGGCUAACUACGUGCCAGCAGCCGCGGUAAUACGUAGGGGGCAAGCGUUGUCCGGAAUUAUUGGGCGUAAAGCGCGCGCAGGCGGUCUUUUAAGUUUGGUGUUUAAGCCCGGGGCUCAACCCCGGUUCGCACUGNAAACUGGGACACUUGA
This 416-nucleotide ribosomal RNA is filed under the name Paenibacillus validus. RNAcentral describes it as "partial 16S ribosomal RNA". It matches the Rfam family "Bacterial small subunit ribosomal RNA", at positions 239 to 645 of the family's 1533-position model. Lineage: Bacteria; Bacillati; Bacillota; Bacilli; Caryophanales; Paenibacillaceae. The record is from RNAcentral.